This 6046-nucleotide long non-coding RNA is filed under the name Sus scrofa (pig). Its description in RNAcentral is "lncRNA (ENSSSCG00030049519.1)". Lineage: Eukaryota; Metazoa; Chordata; Mammalia; Artiodactyla; Suidae. The record is from RNAcentral.
UUUUUUUAUUUUUAUUUUUUAACUCCAUGAAUUUUAUUAUUUAUAGUUGUACCACCAUCAUCACAACUUAAUUUUAUAACAUUCCCAUCCCAAACACCCAGCCCAUCCCUCUCCCACAAUCUGCUUCCUUUGGUAACCAUAAGUUUUUCCAAGUCUGUAAGUCAGUUUCUAUUCUGCAAAUAAGUUCAUUCUAUCCUCUUUUUAGAUUCCACAUAUAAGUGAUAGCAUAUGAUGUUUGUGUCUCACUGAGUAACUUCACUUAGCAUGAUUUCUAGGUCCAUCCAUGUUGCUUUGAAUGCCAUUAUUUCAUUCCUUUUUUAUGGCUGAGUAAUAUUCCAUUGUUUGAUGUACCACAUCUUUAUCCACUCUUCUGCUGAUGGACAUUUAGGUUGCUUCUGUGUCUUGGCUAUUGUCUAUAGUGUUGCAACAAACAUUGGGGUAUAUGUAUAUUAUUGAAUCAUAGUUUUCUCUGGAUAGAUGCCCAAGAGUGGGAUUGCUGGAUCAAAUGGUAAUUUUCUUUUCAAUUUUUUGAGGAAUCUCCAUACUGUUUUCCAUAGUGGUUGCACCAAUUUGCAUUCCCACCAACAGUGUAGGAAGGAUCUUUUUUUCCACACCCUCUCCAUCAUUUAUUGUUUGUAGAUAUUGCUGAUGGCCAUUCUGGCUGGUUUUAGGUGGUACUUCAUAGUGGUUUUGAUUUGCAUUUCUCUAAUAAUGAGUGAUGCUGAACAUCUUUUCAUGUUUUUUUUGGCCAUCUGUAUGUCUUCUUUGGAGAAGGGUCUGUUUAGAACUUUUGCCCAUUUUUUGUUGGGGUUGUUUAUUUGGUACUGAGUUUCAGGAGGUGUUCGCUGAUAAAAUUUUAAAAUGUGAUAUUCAGAAACUUCUGUAGUGAAAAAUCCUGAACUAUCUCCUAGAGUCUUGUAUUAAGUCAUAUAUUACUGAGAAGUGGUGAAUAGGCAGUGUGGCAAUGAAACUCCAGUACUUCAUUGAGGAAAGAACAGAUGAUUUUGUCUGGUUCUUCCAGAAACUCUAACUCAUAUGUGCUAUAUUUUGCUAAAAAGUUCAAAUCACCUUCUGUGUUUUAUUGAUUGAUUUAAAUACCAGAUUGUUUAAGGCAGUUAGUUACAAUGUAGGAAAGCCAUCAUUACAUUCAUCAAAACUAGUUCUUAAUUCUUUCAUCAUCUUAUUUUUCAAGUGAUUCCUGUCUCCAAUCUCCUCUUUCCCUAUUUCUGAAUCAUUAUUUACCAUUUCCCCAUUUCUGCCCAUUUACCACAUACAGAGAUAAAGCUCAGUGUCAACUGCAAACAUAAAACCUAAGUGUGGCUCCCCAUCUUCCAAGUUAAUGAUGAAAUGUGAAGCAAUACUAUCCCCUCAGCCCUAAAAUAAAGGCCAUCAUCAAUAGCCACGUGAGCAGCUAGGCCUGCACUAACUGAAAUCUUUCCACAACAUAAACAGUGUUUUCUAAACUUAUUGAUGGGCACUUAGUGAAGGAAAGAAUCAGAGGUGAUGAUAAAGUAUACUUCCCAAAUUUCAAUCGACCAGAACUGUCACCUUCAAAUGAGAGUAUAUUGGUCUGCUGGGUCCCCUAGUUAUUUAGAGUCAUUAGGUCCUAGCCAUUGGUUUCUGCCUCAUAUCCUAUUUAUCACAUUUUAAACUAAUUCUUAUUUAUGUCUCUUAUCAAGUGAGAGUUUAUUUUUCUGCCACAGAAGUAGUGCACUUGAAUAAGUACACAACUGUAUAGUGAAUGCUGUAAAUACUAUCAAAUGUUGUUUUGCCUGUAGUUUAAGAGUAUUCUUACUGGCAAAAUAUUACAAAGCAAAUGUUGAAGGUUUGCAUAUUUUCUUUUUUGGCCUUUUUUGUCUUUUUAGGGCUGUACCUCUGGCAAAUGGAGGUUCCCUGGCUAGGGGGAUUGAAUCUACAUCUUCAUGGAUACUAGUCAGGUUCCUUAACCACUGAACCACGAUGGAGAACUCUGCAUAUUUCCAUUACUUACUGUGCUAUCCAUAAUUUAAAUUAUUGUCAUUUUUCAGAUAAGCAGAUUAACAGAGAAUGAUAUUAAAAAAAGAACUACUGUUUGUGCAUCAUGGCAAAUCAUACUCAUUUGGUACAAGAAACAUUAAAUUUGCAUUUCACUCCAGUCAUAGAUAUUAAAGAUUUCCAUAUUUUUUUAACACAAAACAAGAAAGUAACAGAAACUCAAUGUGUUAAGUGAAUUAUUUAAAAGCUAGAAUUUUUAAGGAGAUUGUUAGAGAAUAUAUUGAAAUCUAUCAUCUAAUAUCACCUGUGAAAUCUGCCAUCAUUCAGUGGUUACUUUAAUUCAUUUUAUUGUCAUUAUUUAUCCUAUUUACUUUUCAAAUAACAGUUUUGUUUUCUUUGUAGUUAUCUGCACAUGGGAUCUGCUACCUUCAUCAUUCAAUCAUCAUGGCACUUCUAUUUUUGAAACACAUAUAAGUAUAUCCCCUGUUUUUUCCCAUGUAAAAUGUCAGUUCUGGACAUUAGCUUUUGCUUAUGCAGGUAGAGCACUUAUGACAUUUGUCAUAGUAAAUACAUUUAUACCAGUAAGCUUCAAAUAUUCCUAAUUCACUAGUGCACAGGAAAUUUAGACUUUAGUGCAAAACAGAAAAAAAAAAAAGAAAGGCACCUUCAGCACAUAUUGCCAUAAAUUUGUUCAGGUGGAACAGGAGAUUGGGUGACAUAACAGUCAAGCAGCAGGCAUGGAGUGACAGUUUAUAGACAGACAAUGAAAUAGAACUUUGAAGAAAGGAAUAGAUGUAUUAUACUGUAUCCUGCAAUUAUACCUAUUAAGGCAGAAGAAAAUCAUCUUCACUUCCACUUUUCAUGAUUCUGGGCUGUCUCUCGGCAUUGUCCUCAUAAAACCUUAUGCAUUAUAUAUUUCAUCAUGACAAAACAUAAUUGAUGCCAAGUACAUUUUAAAAUUAUCGCUGUGUAAUACACACUUUUGAGAAACACUAUUUAUUAUUAUAAACGUUCAAAUACUUAUUUUGAAUUAUAUUGAAGAUCAUGACAGAACAUUUUAAACGUGUUCUCAGUGGCAAGUGAGUCAUUUUGAAGACUACUUUUCUAAUUUAUUCUACAACAGUUGAAGUUUUUUUAAAAAAAAUCUCUUCCAGAAAUUAUAAAAAAUAACAGCUUCUCCUUUGGAGUGUUGAAAGGUAAAAGCCACAGUAAGUCAAACAAGUGUAUACAGUUCAAAAGCAAUUUCUACCUUUAUAAAAAUUAUAGUGUAAAAAAGCUGGAGAUAAAUGCUUAGAUAUAAGCCACAUUCAGCCUCCCGAGCAUCCACGUCUCUAUAGUUCUCUUUUGUGCCCUGUUUAGAAAAAUUAUAGCCCUAUCUUUAAUUCAGAGAUUUGAUACUUUAUAAUUAAAUAUUGCCCAUUCAUUAAGAGGAAUACUGUUUGGGAUAAAGAAGAAAAUGUGUAUGUAUGUGUAUAUACAGGCCCUGUAAUCUGGGUUCGAAUUCUGUCUGCCACUUAUCAGCUGAGUGACUUGAAUUAAAAAAAAAAAAAAAAAAAAAAAAAAAAGAAAGAAAAGAUUGUCAGUGUUGGCUUUUGGGCUAUUUUUUCAUUACUGGCCCAUGUGACAUGGACAGUGCCUGGCACACGGUGGACAAAAUACUACCUGUUGAAGAGAAGAAUGAAUGAAUGAAAGCUCUUAGAAGAAAUUUAGCACAGUGUUUGAAAACUCCCUGGUAUUAUCCUCUCUGACUCUUCACAUCUCCUUCACUUUCCACUAUAGCAGACUGGGGUAAUAAAGCCAUUGAAAUUGAUCAGUAUUGGGAUACUUGCGUUUAAUUAUUACAUGUAGCAGAGUCCUUCUUCCCUUUUUAAAAGACUAACAGUAACCAUAGUUCUCUAAGACAUAGUGCAAAAUAAAAAUCACCCACGUAUUUUUAAAGGACUUUAAGGAAAUAAUUCACACGUAUCUUUCCAAAAUUAACAUACCUUCCAAAUUGAUAAGAUCUAGAGUCAAAUAAAAAACUAAAUAAUUCCGACACACAGAAGUAGAGUGAUCAAUUUACAAAUAGGUGCAAUAAUAGCUUUUAUUUUUAUACUCAUUUCCAGCCUUUCUUAUAUUUUACAGGAUAAGUUAUGAGCCUCAUGACAAAUACGCUUCCCAACCCUCCCUACGGUGUCCAGCCAAGCCUGCUAGAGUUAUGACACAGACUGGUGUUUAUAGGACAAGUCAGAGGAUGAUUCAUAGCCCCUAAAAAACAGUAUUUUUCUUUUUUUAAAAGGAAAGCUAUCCCAGACAGCUACCAUUUUAUUAAAAAUAUCAUCAUAUUUUUAUUCUCUCCUUGUUCAAAAUUAAGGAAAAAGAUAUCAGAAAAUUUUGAACCAUGCAAUCACCAUAUGAAGAUGUCCAACUCCCAAUUUUAUCUUCCAGAACUGACUUUAAUAAAAUAAAAAUUACCUCUUUAUCUCAUAGAUUUUUGAAUCACGCACAGAGCUCCACAGUGCUGUCACUCUCUCACACAAAACUAAUGAGACUGUCUUUGUGAAGAACUUAACUAACAUGGUCCCGCCAUUUCUCUCUGCUGCCCAGGAAUUUAUACUUUAUAAGAAAGCAGGGACCUCAGUGCUGACUUUGUUUUAGAGGGUCCCUCCCCAUUGGCUCCAGGGUGGUUAGACCCUUCCAGAAUUACCCCACAGCUCUGAGAUAGCCAUUUAAUGCCUUCCAUAUUUACCAGAAAAAUUAAAUAUUUUUAUUGUUUGCUCACCUUCUGGUUUAAAAAUAUCCCCCCCCCAUCACUGCCCCAGUGUAUGAGUAUUUGGCUCUCUUUUCUGGAUUAUAGAAAAACAAAACAAAACAUAACCCUGAGUUGGCAAACCUUUAGCCAGGUCUUUGAGUAGAUAAGUUUUAUCUCUAUUUUUUCAUGAGAACAUUGUGUUUCUCAUUUUUAUGAAGUCAGUAAUAGGUCUUACUGAUUAAGGACUAAACCAGAAGCCAGCUUUAGUAAACAAAAAAGGAAUUUACAUUUUGCAAAACAAUGUGAAAAUUUUUGUGUGUCUUAACUGUGGAUUUGAGGGGGAUGUUUUUGGAGAUGAUGUUGAUUUUGGGAAAUUGUGAUUCUUCAUCAAUAUAGUAUGAAAUAAACUCUUUGAAAUGGUGGUGAAUUGCAUGUGUAUGUGUGCACACAGAUAUAUUUACUAACUCUAGCCCUCUUCAUUCAGUGUUUGGUCUAAUAAUAAUUCAUAAGAAGACAGCUGCAGUUAAACAAGGUCUGUAUUUAUUUAAAACUGGUGGAAAGGUUUCAAAGACUGAUUGGGAUGGUCAAAGCAUGCAGCUGCUGGCUUCUCCAUAGUGAUUGUCUAGGAUAAAUAACUUAGGUAUUGAAAAUGGACUGCUGAGAGUCAAGGGGAAAACCCUUGGAAGUAAGACGUGGAGUGUAUUCUCCAGAUGAAGGGGUAGAAAGUUGGACACUGGGAUAGAGAAUAGAUAAGCGUAGGACUGAGGGUGUCAAUAAUAACAUUUCUGUGAAGGGCAGCUUUUAUUUUUUCCCCUCCCAUUUUCUUUGGACUCUAGGAACAAUCAUUUUUAGCAGGUUUAAGUUUUUUUCUUCCUAUACCAAUUUUCUCCUACUUUUAGUAAAGAGCAUUACCCACACAAAGUCUUAUGCUGGAGAGAAAUUGAGGGAAGGAUCAGUAAGAACUUGGGUAACCUUCUAAAUAUCCAUGUUCCAAUAAGGUCGAGGAGGUGAUUAAUUUUGGAGUUCUAGGUUAUGGGGAGAAGUAAAGCAGUCCUGUGGGUGGCAGGAAGGAGAACUGGAUAAGCAGAAAUCAAUGGGGUUUAUACAGACCCAUUCACAGAAAUGAAACAGACUCCCUUUAUUUCCUAAAUGUACUAGCACAUGGAAGAGAGAGCAGAUGUAUCCUUGGUUAUAAGUACAUUUUAUUACUACUAAAAAUAAUUUUAUUAUUUAGUUAUUUUUUCAAGCUUUCUGGAGGUGUAAUUGACAAAGUUUUAUAUGAAGGGUACAAUGUAAUUUGACACAUGUAUACAUUAGGAAAUGAUUACAACAAUCAGGUUA